AGCGUACACGGUGGAUGCCCUGGCAGUCAGAGGCGAUGAAGGACGUGCUAAUCUGCGAUAAGCGUCGGUAAGGUGAUAUGAACCGUUAUAACCGGCGAUUUCCGAAUGGGGAAACCCAGUGUGUUUCGACACACUAUCAUUAACUGAAUCCAUAGGUUAAUGAGGCGAACCGGGGGAACUGAAACAUCUAAGUACCCCGAGGAAAAGAAAUCAACCGAGAUUCCCCCAGUAGCGGCGAGCGAACGGGGAGGAGCCCAGAGCCUGAAUCAGUGUGUGUGUUAGUGGAAGCGUCUGGAAAGGCGCGCGAUACAGGGUGACAGCCCCGUACACAAAAAUGCACAUACUGUGAGCUCGAUGAGUAGGGCGGGACACGUGGUAUCCUGUCUGAAUAUGGGGGGACCAUCCUCCAAGGCUAAAUACUCCUGACUGACCGAUAGUGAACCAGUACCGUGAGGGAAAGGCGAAAAGAACCCCGGCGAGGGGAGUGAAAAAGAACCUGAAACCGUGUACGUACAAGCAGUGGGAGCCUCUUUUAUGGGGUGACUGCGUACCUUUUGUAUAAUGGGUCAGCGACUUAUAUUCUGUAGCAAGGUUAACCGAAUAGGGGAGCCGAAGGGAAACCGAGUCUUAACUGGGCGUUAAGUUGCAGGGUAUAGACCCGAAACCCGGUGAUCUAGCCAUGGGCAGGUUGAAGGUUGGGUAACACUAACUGGAGGACCGAACCGACUAAUGUUGAAAAAUUAGCGGAUGACUUGUGGCUGGGGGUGAAAGGCCAAUCAAACCGGGAGAUAGCUGGUUCUCCCCGAAAGCUAUUUAGGUAGCGCCUCGUGAAUUCAUCUCCGGGGGUAGAGCACUGUUUCGGCAAGGGGGUCAUCCCGACUUACCAACCCGAUGCAAACUGCGAAUACCGGAGAAUGUUAUCACGGGAGACACACGGCGGGUGCUAACGUCCGUCGUGAAGAGGGAAACAACCCAGACCGCCAGCUAAGGUCCCAAAGUCAUGGUUAAGUGGGAAACGAUGUGGGAAGGCCCAGACAGCCAGGAUGUUGGCUUAGAAGCAGCCAUCAUUUAAAGAAAGCGUAAUAGCUCACUGGUCGAGUCGGCCUGCGCGGAAGAUGUAACGGGGCUAAACCAUGCACCGAAGCUGCGGCAGCGACACUAUGUGUUGUUGGGUAGGGGAGCGUUCUGUAAGCCUGUGAAGGUGUGCUGUGAGGCAUGCUGGAGGUAUCAGAAGUGCGAAUGCUGACAUAAGUAACGAUAAAGCGGGUGAAAAGCCCGCUCGCCGGAAGACCAAGGGUUCCUGUCCAACGUUAAUCGGGGCAGGGUGAGUCGACCCCUAAGGCGAGGCCGAAAGGCGUAGUCGAUGGGAAACAGGUUAAUAUUCCUGUACUUGGUGUUACUGCGAAGGGGGGACGGAGAAGGCUAUGUUGGCCGGGCGACGGUUGUCCCGGUUUAAGCGUGUAGGCUGGUUUUCCAGGCAAAUCCGGAAAAUCAAGGCUGAGGCGUGAUGACGAGGCACUACGGUGCUGAAGCAACAAAUGCCCUGCUUCCAGGAAAAGCCUCUAAGCAUCAGGUAACAUCAAAUCGUACCCCAAACCGACACAGGUGGUCAGGUAGAGAAUACCAAGGCGCUUGAGAGAACUCGGGUGAAGGAACUAGGCAAAAUGGUGCCGUAACUUCGGGAGAAGGCACGCUGAUAUGUAGGUGAAGUCCCUCGCGGAUGGAGCUGAAAUCAGUCGAAGAUACCAGCUGGCUGCAACUGUUUAUUAAAAACACAGCACUGUGCAAACACGAAAGUGGACGUAUACGGUGUGACGCCUGCCCGGUGCCGGAAGGUUAAUUGAUGGGGUCAGCGCAAGCGAAGCUCUUGAUCGAAGCCCCGGUAAACGGCGGCCGUAACUAUAACGGUCCUAAGGUAGCGAAAUUCCUUGUCGGGUAAGUUCCGACCUGCACGAAUGGCGUAAUGAUGGCCAGGCUGUCUCCACCCGAGACUCAGUGAAAUUGAACUCGCUGUGAAGAUGCAGUGUACCCGCGGCAAGACGGAAAGACCCCGUGAACCUUUACUAUAGCUUGACACUGAACAUUGAGCCUUGAUGUGUAGGAUAGGUGGGAGGCUUAGAAGUGUGGACGCCAGUCUGCAUGGAGCCGACCUUGAAAUACCACCCUUUAAUGUUUGAUGUUCUAACGUUGACCCGUGAUCCGGGUUGCGGACAGUGUCUGGUGGGUAGUUUGACUGGGGCGGUCUCCUCCUAAAGAGUAACGGAGGAGCACGAAGGUUGGCUAAUCCUGGUCGGACAUCAGGAGGUUAGUGCAAUGGCAUAAGCCAGCUUGACUGCGAGCGUGACGGCGCGAGCAGGUGCGAAAGCAGGUCAUAGUGAUCCGGUGGUUCUGAAUGGAAGGGCCAUCGCUCAACGGAUAAAAGGUACUCCGGGGAUAACAGGCUGAUACCGCCCAAGAGUUCAUAUCGACGGCGGUGUUUGGCACCUCGAUGUCGGCUCAUCACAUCCUGGGGCUGAAGUAGGUCCCAAGGGUAUGGCUGUUCGCCAUUUAAAGUGGUACGCGAGCUGGGUUUAGAACGUCGUGAGACAGUUCGGUCCCUAUCUGCCGUGGGCGCUGGAGAACUGAGGGGGGCUGCUCCUAGUACGAGAGGACCGGAGUGGACGCAUCACUGGUGUUCGGGUUGUCAUGCCAAUGGCACUGCCCGGUAGCUAAAUGCGGAAGAGAUAAGUGCUGAAAGCAUCUAAGCACGAAACUUGCCCCGAGAUGAGUUCUCCCUGACUCCUUGA
This 2786-nucleotide ribosomal RNA is filed under the name Escherichia coli. RNAcentral's name for it is "bacterial LSU rRNA". It matches the Rfam family "Bacterial large subunit ribosomal RNA". The record is from RNAcentral. Lineage: Bacteria; Pseudomonadati; Pseudomonadota; Gammaproteobacteria; Enterobacterales; Enterobacteriaceae.